RNAcentral lists this non-coding RNA (28 nucleotides) under Mus musculus (house mouse). Lineage: Eukaryota; Metazoa; Chordata; Mammalia; Rodentia; Muridae. The record is from RNAcentral.
UGCAGAUCGAGGUAACAGCAGAGUAUCU